AUCGAACGCUGGCGGCAUGCUUUACACAUGCAAGUCGAACGGUAACAGGCCUUCGGGUGCUGACGAGUGGCGAAAGGGGGAGUAAAGCAUGGGAACGAGCCGAGAGGGGGGGGAGAAAGAAGCGAGAGCUGUGCGAAUACUGCAGGAGAGGUGAGGAUGAAGGAGGGGGAGGAGGGAGAAAUGUUUGGCGUCGGGCAUGGGGAGGGGCCGAUGUCGGAUUAGGUAGGGGGUGGGGUAAAGGCCUACCAAGACGACGAUCUGUAGCGGGUGGGAGGGGACGACCCGCCACACUGGGACUGAGACACGGCCCAGACUCCUACAGGCGGCAGCAGUGGCGAAUUUUGGACACUGGGCGCAAGCCUGCUCCAGCAAUGCCGCGUGCGGGAAGAAGGCCUUCGGGUUGUAAACCGCUUUUGUACGGAACGACAAGGCUCUGGCUAAUCCCUGGGGCUGAUGACGGUACCGUAAGAAUAAGCACCGGCUAACUACGUG
RNAcentral lists this ribosomal RNA (492 nucleotides) under uncultured bacterium. Its description in RNAcentral is "partial 16S ribosomal RNA". It matches the Rfam family "Bacterial small subunit ribosomal RNA", at positions 29 to 507 of the family's 1533-position model. The record is from RNAcentral.